This 254-nucleotide ribosomal RNA is filed under the name uncultured bacterium. RNAcentral's name for it is "partial 16S ribosomal RNA". It matches the Rfam family "Bacterial small subunit ribosomal RNA", at positions 524 to 780 of the family's 1533-position model. The record is from RNAcentral.
UACGGAGGGUGCGAGCGUUAAUCGGAAUUACUGGGCGUAAAGCGCACGCAGGCGGUUGUUAAGCAAGAUGUGAAAGCCCCGGGCUCAACCUGGGAACUGCAUUUUGAACUGGCAGACUAGAGUCUUGGAGAGGGGGGUGGAAUUCCAGGUGUAGCGGUGAAAUGCGUAGAGAUCUGGAGGAACAUCAGUGGCGAAGGCGGCCCCUGGCCAAAGACUGACGCUGAGUGGAGAACGUGGGGAGCGAAACAGGAUUA